AGAAAUGUAGUGCAGGAGAGGAGUACACAGGUGGCACUGACAGAGAAGGAAAUUCAUUGGCUGUAAGAUUUCCCCGGAAAAAACUUGUGGAAGGUAGCUCUGAAACAGCGGUUCUGAAUGUGGCAGAUACGGCCAGUAGGAACUGACGGCUUGUCCCGUUAUAGACAAAAUGAGGAACAUGGCAGUUAUGCUGUGUUUGAAAAAAGGUGGUACCACGGCUGUUAGGUCGUCCUUUAU
This 237-nucleotide non-coding RNA is filed under the name Clostridium sp. RNAcentral's name for it is "T-box sequence". It matches the Rfam family "T-box leader". From Rfam's summary of the family: Uncharged tRNA acts as the effector for transcription antitermination of genes in the T-box leader family. T-boxes are found upstream of many aminoacyl-tRNA synthetase genes and some amino acid biosynthetic genes usually in Gram-positive bacteria. The anticodon of a specific tRNA base pairs to a specifier sequence within the T-box motif, and the NCCA acceptor tail of the tRNA base pairs to a conserved bulge in the T-box antiterminator hairpin. Lineage: Bacteria; Bacillati; Bacillota; Clostridia; Eubacteriales; Clostridiaceae. The record is from RNAcentral.